This 4412-nucleotide long non-coding RNA is filed under the name Homo sapiens (human). Its description in RNAcentral is "HSALNT0273347". The record is from RNAcentral. Lineage: Eukaryota; Metazoa; Chordata; Mammalia; Primates; Hominidae.
UUUAGCUUUUCUUUUCCGGUUGCACAACAUAGUAUCUUUGAGGAAAUCCUUCCAUAAAGAGAAUUCCAUCUUGGCAGCAUCUUAUCUCAGUCAGUAAGUGUCCAAGGCAUAAAAAGUUUCUUUAAAAGUCGUUUGCAUGCUAAACCUUUGCAAGAAAGCUGCUCUUAAAAACCUGUCUCAGGAUUGGACUUUUUUUUUUUUAAUGUGGAGCGCUUCAUGAAUUUGUGUGUCAUCCUUUCACAGGAGCCAUGCUAAUCCUCUCUGUAUCAUUCCAGUUGUAGUAUACGUGCAGCUGAAAUGAGCAGGGGCUUGGACUGUUGGUGAGAUGUUGCUUUAUCAUGAUGUCCUUCUGAAUGGGACAAUUGAGUACCCCAGUGGAGUCAGGAUGCAUCUGCCUUUUGCUUUGCAACCAGAAAAAGGAAGGAUGUGCAAACCACACAUGUCUGCUCUGGGCUCACCCCAAACCUGGGCAUCUUUUACUGCACGUGAACACUUCCUCCGAGAAUCCCUCAGACACUUACCCCCAGCUGCUGCUGCUGAUAGGACCGUGCCCCUGCUUGUUGGCCUGUCUUGGCUUCACCUCGUAGCAGCAGAGGAAGCCGAGAUCACCCCACUGCACUCCAGUCUGGGCGACAGAGUGAGACUCCAUCUCAAAAACAAACAACAAAAAAAAAGAAUUGCUAGAAAAAUAAAAUUAAAAAAAGACAAACAAUAGAAACCUGAUUUUUUUUUUAAACUAGACUCAAUAAACAAAAACUUUCCCUGUCAAAUUCCUAUAGAAGUUUCUCAACAUUUCUCUCAACUCCUGGCCACCUCAUCGCAGGCUGGUAACACAGGCCAUGGCUAGGCCCCAGUACGCAGAUCCCACUUAGAGGAUCAUUGGUUUCAUUACUUGUGUUCCCACUAGACUUUGAGCUCUGGGGGGUGGGGGGAGGGUCACCUGCCCUAUUCACCACUAUGUCCCUAAGGCCUAGAAUGGUACCUGGCACAUAGUAGGUAUUCAAUGCAUUCUUAGUGAAUGACUCAAGUGGUUCAAUGAACAAGCAGCCAGUGACAAAGGAGGGCAUAUGGAAAGAGGGGUCCACGGGAUGUUUGGCCAGGUUGGUCACUGUUGGCCCAGUGGCAGGGUACAGGCUGUGAAGACUGCAAGCAUUCUGGGGACCCACAGGGGUGCAAGGACAACUCCUGCUGUCCAGGCUCGUGGCAGUCAGGAGAGGCCCAGGGCAGUGGCCGCUGCCCAGGCAGAAGCCACCCCUUAUCUCAGGACAGCUCAGCAUGGGCUGUGCCCCUGUUCUGCCUGGCAGCCCCUCUGAUCUCUAACCAGAUUCCCUGUGAGGGCCCUGGAUGGAAAUUCCGACAGGGCCCAUUGAUGGGGGUCCCUGGGUAGGGGGCAGGCACCUGAGGAGAGAUGGAAAGUGACCCUGAGGAGGCAGGUUUCGGGGGGGGGGGUGGCCAGCUGUCCUCUGUCCUUGCUAGUGCAGGGCCCUAAGCAAUGUGCAACCUGGACUGGGUAUCAGAGCAAGGCCAGCAGGGACUAAUGCCUAAAAUAGAGACGGCCUCUGCGGGGGCUCAGGAACAGGAGAAAGACAGGAGGCAGCAAGUCAAGUCAGCCAGGCUUCCAAGGUUGGCCCCUGCCGUGUAAGACACCUGACUUCAAGAGAAAGCCACAGCGCAGAAAUUCGCCUUUCUGUGGACCUUUUAUAUAAAUGGACUCAUACGGACGGGCGCAGUGGCUCACGCCUGUAAUCCCAGCACUUUGAGAGGCUGAGCCGGGUGAAUCACGAAGUCAGGAGUUCGAGACCAGCCUGGCCAACAUGGUGAAACCCCAUCUCUACUAAAAAUACAAAAAUUAGCCAGGCAUGGUGGUGGGUUCCUGUAAUCCCAGCUACUCGGGAAGCCGAGGCACGAGAAUUGCUUGAACCCGGGAGGUGGAAGUUGCAGUGAGCUGAGAUCAUGCAUGCCACUGCACUCCACCCUGAGUGACAGAGUGAGAUUCCGUCUCAAAAAAUAAAUAAAUAAAAAUUGAAAAAGAAAAUGGACUCAUACAAUGCAGUCUGUUAUGUCUGGUUUCUUCCACUUAGCACGCUGCUUCCAAGGUCCACUCGUGUUUCCACAUGUAUCAAUACUUCAUCUCUUCUAAUUACUGAAUAACAUCCCAUUGUAUGGACAUACCACAUUUUAUUUAUCCAGCCACCAGUUAAUGUAUAUUUGGAUGAUUUCCAGUGUGAGAUUGUUAUGAAUAGCGCUACUAUAAACAUUCACGUACAUGUCUUUGUGUGGACUAAUGUUUUUAUUUGUCUUGGGUAGAUUCCUAGGAGUGGAAUAGCUAGGUUCUAUGGUGAAUUUAUGUUUAGCUUUUUUAUUUUCUUUCAGACAGGGCCAUGCUUUAUCACUCAGGCUGGAGUGCAGUGUUGCUAUCAUGGCUUACUCCAGUCUUGACCUCCCGGGCUCAAGUGAUCCUCCUACCUAGGACUACAGGACUCACCACCAUGCCUGGCUAAUUAAAAAAAAAUUUUUUUUGGCCAGGUGCGGUGGCGCACGCUGGUAAUCCCAGCACUUUGGGAGGCUGAGGCGGGUGGAAUCACAAGGUCAAGAGAUCGAGACCAUCCUGGCCAACAUGGUGAAACCCCAUCUCUACUAAAAAUACAAAAAUUAGCUGGGCGUGGUGGCGCGCACCUGUAAUCCCAACUACUCGGGAGGCUGAGGCAGAAGAAUCGCUUGAACCCAGGAGGCGGAGGUUGCAGUAAGCCGAGAUCAUGCCAUGGCACUCCAGCCUGGUGACAGAGCAAGACUUCGUCUCAAAAAAAAAGAAAAAAAAUUUGUAGAGAUGGGGUCUCCACAUGUUGCCCAGGUUGGUCUGAACUCCUGGGCUCAAGCAAACCUCCUGCUUCAGCCUCCCAAAGUGCUAGGAUUACAGGCGUGAGCCACAGUGCCCAGGCAGUUUUAGCUUUCUACUGAAACUGCCAGAUUGUUUUCCAAAAUGGUUGUACUGUUUAUACAUUUCCACCAAUAAUAUAAUAUGAGGAUUCUAGUUUCUCCACAUCCCUGCCAACACUUCUUAUUUAAAAUUGUGAUCCAGGUUGGGCAUGAUGGCUUAUGCCUGUAAUCCUACCACUUUUGGAGGCCGAGGCAGGCAGAUCACUUGAGGUCAGGAGUUUGAGACCAGCCUGAUUAACAUGGCGAAACCCUGUCUCUACUAAAAAAAAAAAAAAAAAAAAAAAAUUAGCUGGGUGUGGUGGUGCAUUCCUGUAUUCCCAGCUACUCAGGAGGCUGAGGCAGGAGAAUUGCUUGAAUCUGGGAGGCGGAGGUUGCAGUGAGCCGAGAUCACACCACUGCACUCCAGCCUGAGUGACAGCAAGACUCCGUCUCAAAAAAAAUAAAAUAAAUAAAAUAAAACAAAAUAAAAUUGUGAUCCAGCAUUCUCAUUUCUGGGUAUUUACCCAAAAGAUUUGAAAUCAGUAUGUCAAAGAGAUGUCUGUGCUCCCAUUUUCACUGCAGCACUAUUUACACUAGCCAAAUUAUGGAACCAAUCUAAAUGUCCAUCAAUAGAUGAACAAAUAAAGAAAAUGUAACAUAUAUCCACAAUGGAAUUUUAGUCUUAAAAAAGGAAAGAAAUUCUCUCAUUAACAACAACAUGGAUGAAAUUGGAAGACAUGGGCAGGACGCAGUGGCUCAUGCCUGUAAUCCCAGCACUUUGGGAGGCAGAGGCGGGUGGAUCACCUGAGGUCAGGAGUUUGAGACCAGCCUGGCCAACAUGGUGAAACCCUGUCUCUACUAAAGAUACAAAAAAAUUAGCCAUGGUGGUGGGUGCCUGUAAUCCCAGCUACUUAGGAGGCUGAGGUAGGAUAAUCACUUCCGGGAGGUGGAGGUUGCAGUGAGCCGAGAUCAUGCCAUUGCACUCUAGCCUGGGGAACAAGUCUCAAAAAAAAAGAAAUCAGAAGACAUGACGUUAAGUGUAAUAAGCCACACACAGAAAAACAAAUACCACGUGAUCUUACUUAUGUAUGUGUGAUGGUUGAUACUGAGUGUCAACUUGAUUGGAUUGAAGGAUGCAAAGUACUGAUCCUGGGUGUGUCUGUGAGGGUGUUGCCAAAGGAGAUUAACAUUUGAGUCAGUGGGCUGGGAAAGGCAGACCCACCCUUAAUCUGGGUGGCCACCAUCUAAUUGGCUGCCAGUGUGGCUAGAAUAUAAAGCACGCAGAAAAAUAUGAAAAGACUAGACUGGCCCAGCCUUCCAGCCUACAUCUUUCUCUCAUGCUGGAUGCUUCCUGCCCUCAAACAUUGGACUCCAAGUUCUUCAGUUUUGGAACUCCAACUGGCUCUUCUUCUUCCUAAGCCUGCAGAAGGCCUACUGCGGGACCUUGUGAUUAUGUGAGUUAAUAUUUAAUAAUCUCCCUGAUAUAUAUAUAUAUA